CCUACGGGAGGCAGCAGUAGGGAAUAUUGCACAAUGGGGGAAACCCUGAAGCAGCAACGCCGCGUGGAGGAUGAAGGUUUUCGGAUUGUAAACUCCUUUUGUUAGAGAAGAUAAUGACGGUAUCUAACGAAUAAGCACCGGCUAACUCCGUGCCAGCAGCCGCGGUAAUACGGAGGGUGCAAGCGUUACUCGGAAUCACUGGGCGUAAAGAGCGCGUAGGCGGGAUAGCAAGUCAGAUGUGAAAUCCUAUGGCUUAACCAUAGAACUGCAUUUGAUACUGUUAUUCUAGAGUAUGGGAGAGGUAGGUGGAAUUCUUGGUGUAGGGGUGAAAUGCGUAGAGAUCAAGAGGAAUACUCAUGGCGAAGGCGACCUGCUAGAACAUAACUGACGCUGAUGCGCGAAAGCGUGGGGAGCAAACAGGAUUAGAUACCCCAGUAGUC
Molecule: ribosomal RNA, 440 nt
Filed under: uncultured bacterium
Lineage: Bacteria
Description: partial 16S ribosomal RNA
Rfam family: Bacterial small subunit ribosomal RNA
Source: RNAcentral